Molecule: transfer RNA, 73 nt
Filed under: Fasciola gigantica
Lineage: Eukaryota; Metazoa; Platyhelminthes; Trematoda; Plagiorchiida; Fasciolidae
Description: tRNA-Thr
Source: RNAcentral
ACAGCGAUGGCUCAGGCGGUGGAGUAUCUGCUCGGUAUGCAGAGGGUGGCCGGUUCAGUUCCGGCCCGCGGCA